CAGGAGAGCCGGGAGAGCCGGGGCUGCCUGGCGAGGUGGGCAUGCGGGGAUUCCAAGGACCACCUGGACUCUCCGGGCCUCCUGGACACAUUGGAGCUCCUGGUCUCCAAGGAGAACGGGGUGAAAAGGGAAACCGAGGAGAAAAGGGGGAGAGAGGCCUGGAUGGAUUCCCCGGGAAGCACGGGGAGACGGGAGAGCAGGGGAGACCUGGCCCUCCUGGCGUGGCAGGACCCCAGGGAGAGAAGGGUGACGUGGGGCCAGCAGGACCUCCUGGUGUACCGGGCUCCAUGGUGCAGAGAGAGGGCCUGAAGGGCGAGCAGGGAGCCCCAGGACCACGGGGUCACCAGGGCCCACCUGGGCCACCAGGAGCUCCGGGUCUGAUGGGUCCUGGAGGCAAGGACGGACCUCCUGGUUUACAAGGUCUCCGGGUGAGUAACAUGUCUUUCCCUUC
Molecule: long non-coding RNA, 451 nt
Filed under: Ursus americanus (American black bear)
Lineage: Eukaryota; Metazoa; Chordata; Mammalia; Carnivora; Ursidae
Description: lncRNA (ENSUAMG00000000107.1)
Source: RNAcentral